UCAGCCGAAGCCUGCCUUAGGACUGCCACAUCCUUCAUAAUUGUCCUGUAACAACUGAAGGUGCCAUCUGCUCAAGACAAGGGAAAGGAAGUUUUGUUCAGCAGGACAUAAAGACUGUAAAGAGGACCAAUGGCAGAUGAGGGUGUACUGAGGAGGAACUGUGACUGAUUUAAGAAAUCCUUCCCACCGCUAGCUCCUUUCUUGAAACCAGAUAGUUCCAGGACUGGAUCGCUCUCAUCCUUCACAUUUCUGCUCAAACGUCACUCUACGAGGCCUUUUCUGGUCAUCCCAAAAUAACAUCACCACUCAUCUUCGUGUGUGUGAGUAUGUGUACAUGUUAGUGGCAAAGGCACACAAAGCGCAGUGCAGAUUUAAAGCAUGUUUUGUAGCUUCUAUGAGGGCACACAGAAUGGGGGCUGCCUUCUUCUCCUCUCCUAUCCUGGGAGCCUUUGCCUAGCAGGGAACAAAUUCUUGCGAUGAAUGAGCGUGGUUCUUUGGGACCCUGCGUGUCGUUUCUACUUCCAACCGGUCCCUUCGCAGAAAUGGUUAACUGAAGUCAGGUACUUGGGUCUCAAUGCCCGGUCCACGGGUGCCACGUCCCCUGGGCCGAGCGCUUAGAGCAGGGAAGCGAAAGCAGGAAGGGGAAAGUCUCCGUGGAGGCAGCGGCCGCCUAUCGUAUCAGCUCGGGCGCACAGGGGCCUUCCCGGCCGGGCUGACUCAUUCCCAGCCGUCUCCUCGGCGAGCGGAGGCCGCAGGCACGCUGCGCCAACCCGCACCCGCCCCGCUCCUCCUCCUCCUCCUCCUCCUCCUCCCCGCGCGCUCUCGCCUGGGGGCUGCCCCGGGAAUCUCCACGCGCGCCUCCGCUUCUCCGGAGCCCGGCCCCGCGGGCGGCGCAGGCGCAGUGGGGCGUGUCGGCCCCCGCCCCCCCACUCCCCUUCCCACCUCCACCCCCGCCGAUUAGCCCGCGCCCGGCUCCGCUGCUCCGGGCCGCUUUCCCGAGGCUGCGCCUGGACGGAGCCCGCCGCGCAGG
Molecule: long non-coding RNA, 1030 nt
Organism: Apodemus sylvaticus (European woodmouse)
Lineage: Eukaryota; Metazoa; Chordata; Mammalia; Rodentia; Muridae
Exons: 3
Source: RefSeq, a predicted model, not a curated record